GAUUUCCACAAGCCUACUAACAAUAUAUAUUAGUAUAUUAUAUAAACUACCUCAAAUCAAUGUAUCAAACUAGGCAUACAACAACACCUAAGAUUAAACGUGCAAGUGAAUAAUUGAGUUCCUAACUCAUUUAAUACAUCACUCUUUAGGAAGACGCUUAAAUUAGACAGUGUUCACAUAAUAAAUUUGAAACCUCGAACUAUAAUUCUGAAUCCCUUUGUUCAACACCCGACUUUGAACUACUAAGUGUAUAAAAACUCAUUCCACCAUAUGGUCGACACAUGACUGAACUAUGCUAAAACCUUAGACAAUACUCAUGGGUAAACUAAGCUAUUUUAAACAUGAGUUCACAAUCAUACACCACAAGCCAUUCACAGCAAAAGAAUAUCUCAUAGUAUCUUUCAAACAACACACUACACUUUAAUACUUUUGCCCUUAGCCUCCUUUCAGCCAGUCCAUCAUAUAUUUCAGGUUUAACUAGUCCAAGUUACACAAACUAUAACAGAUCUUAGUUAUUCAAACCUCUAGAUUACCAUUACAUAUCUAACAGAACUUAGACAUUCAAAAUGAUCAGAAAAUAGAACUGCAUAGAAGCCAAUGCAAUAACAGUAGUGCUUGCAUUUCAAUCUCUCUUCCAAAUAGGCUUUAUUCAACUUAAUAUUUAUACGUCAUUCAAUGUUGAGAUAAAUACCUGGGCACAGAACAGAAAAGGAGAAGACGGAAUCAGCUGAUACACCAAUCGAGCAGCAACAACAAUCAGCAAUCAACAAAAACCAGUAACAACCAAUAAAACCCAGCAGCAGAGUAACAGAAGGCCAACAGAACUCCCAACAACCCAAUAGAACAGUAACAAUAACCAAUAGCAAACUCAGGCAAACCCAAAUGACAAACCAGAGAUACCAAUCAACCACACAAACAGAACCAGACUGAUUAAGAGGAUGCAAUGAAACUAUGAAUUUUCUCUUCAACUCUCAAAUACUGAACUUUAAGUGUUAAAGUCUAGCAAAGUUUUUCCGGAGAAAGAAACUGAAAGAAAACUGAUGGACUACUUGUGCAGGGAUUAGCCUACGUUUGCUUUUUAACUCUGAAUUCUUAAUGUAAAAUCCAGCUCUUAAACACUCGAUAUCUAGUCCAAAAAUUCAGUCCUCUCUUUUCUGCUCUCAAAACUUAAUUUCUAAUGCUCUAAAAAUCUCCCCCCAUUCAGUCUUCAAUUCCCCCUAUUUAUAACCCAUUUCCACCCUAAAAAGCACUAAGCCAGUUGCCUCAUUCAUUACUCCGUCAUGCCCCAUUUUGCCUUUUUAGCUCUAUGGAGCGUUAUCUCUAAUUAAAGAAGUAAAUGUACCCAUGUUCUUUUCUGCAUUUCCCAUUCAAAAGUUCAAAAGGAGUAAUAUUCCCUGACAUCCCCCCAUUUAAUAUUAAAGUGUUUUCCCUUUUAUUAAACUAGAACAAUAUGGGCAGCAGGAAUAUGCCCUGACAGCACAUGCUGUCAAAUUACCUUAGACUCAUUAAAGAAUUAACAGUUCACAUGCUUGCUGGGGUCCUAAACAAAGCCAAUAUUCAUCUAAAAAUGCAUAAACCAGGGGAUCAUUUCAAUACUAGUCUAAACUAAAUGCCUGGUUAAUUGCAAUUCAAAUUGAAACUAGUAUGAAUUCAAAUGCUAAUGGAUUCAGGCAAAAGAAUCAAAUUAACAUGAAAUUUUGAAUCCAGCAUAGGCAAACUGGUACCAACCAGCUCGAAGGGCACGAACAAAUUUCAAACCAAUAAUCGGCCAAACUUAAUUACAGACAUAUAUAAUUACAAACAAAGAAAAUCGACCAAAUAAAAUCUCUGUUGGAGAUGGAUAGAAAUGAAAGACUAAAAAUUGAAAACUUAAAUAAACUAAACUAAAUGCGUAUCAGAUAGGAAUCAUGCAUAUAAAAUAAAAUGAGGAAGAAAAGGUACCUCGGGCAUUCAAAGAACACAGACGACCCAUGUUCGAAACCGGACUUGCCUGCUCUGAGGUCGAACAGACCUUAGUCAAAGUGUUAUCACAUGAUAACACCUUGAUUAAGGUCAAUUAAACCCCAAAUCCAUAACUUAUUCAGACAGAUUCCAAGCUUUGAAAUUUUUUUCUUCAAACUAAUUUGGGGUUUAUGAUUUUCUGGGUAGAUUCGAAUGGGACCAAAGGCGUUUAGGAUAUGAGAGAGGUCAGAUGGUGACAUGGUGUGACUUUGGGGGUUGGUUGGGGUAGGUUUGGGUUUCAAUUGAAUUUUUGAUUGAAGAUUCGAGAAGCUAAAGAUUGAUUCGAGGUAAGUAGUUAAGGGAUUCGUGUUCAAGGAGCAAAGUGGGUUAAGGGGUGUUAAUUUUGUGGUCAUUGGCAUCGUUGCCGCCAGGCUUACGGCGAAGGGGAGGGGUGGCGGUUGCUAGGGUUUUGGGGAAGGGUUUGAUCUCUGAACUCAGAGACGAAGAGGGGGGUAUGGCUAUGGGGGGAUGGAUAGGAGCUUAGGAUUAUAUACUAAGUGGGGUUUCUAAUCCUAUCCGUCAGAUCUAUUAAGAUCAAUGGCUAGGAUCAGUAGGCUUGCCAACUACAAUAUCAUUUGGGUUAAUUGGGGAUUGGGUCGGUCUUGAAUGGGAACGGGUCGUGUACGAUGGGAAGCUGGGGGCCGUUGGACUAUAUUGGGUGAAUGGUUGUGAUCGUUUGGAGACAAAAUGACGUAGUUUCACUACUAUACUACGUCAUUUAACUGGUCUUGGAGACAAACUGAUUUGGACCGGGUUGGAGGUUGUUUUUGGGCUUGAUUUUUUUUAAAUUAAAUCUAGUCCAAUUUGAUUUUACCCUCUUAUUUUCCACUCUUUUAUUUUCUUUCAUAUUCUUUUCCUUUCAUUUAUUUAAACAAAAUUCCUAAUUAAUUUGUAAAAUCAAAACUAAACUACACAAAUAUUAAUUAAUACCCAACAACAAUUGUCACAUAAAUUAAAAUCUUGAAAUAAAAUCACACAAUAAAAUGCAUAUUUUUGUGAUUUUCAUUUUAACCAAAUUAUGGUUAAUUAACUCUUAGAAUGCACGUCUAGUUCCUAAUUCGUACAACAUGUAUAUUUUUGUAUUUCUUAAUUAUUUUGACAAAUAAACACGCACAGACAGAAAAUGCAAACGCUAAAGAAAAGGUAACCCAAAAAUUCACAAAAAUCACACACAAUGCAAAACUAUUUUAUUUUAAAUUUUUUGGAGUAAUUGUCGUGAGAGCCAAAAUCACUUGCUCACAGCCGCCCCCUUUUUGUCCGAAAACACAAAGAGUUUUCGUGCAAAGAUAAAGUGAGCGGAUACGAGCAAUUUUUGUCUGUUGGAAUACUCCGUGUGAAGCAUUUUUUGAAAAAGGUUUAACCGAACCUUUGCUUCAAAGGUCCCCUACAUAUCCCUGGCUAAAAGGGAAUUAGGUUAAUGUAGUUUAGGGAGUUUUGGUAACUGGGACUACCGUGGGACUGCGGUUUGGCUGUUAGUGCUGCUGCAUGCUGUUACUGUUACCGCUGCUUUACCGAUCUCCUUAUUACACCGUGCUAAAAGGAAAACAAAAAGCUAGGCUAACCUAUGGAUCAAAAGAUCCUAUCUAUCUUCAGCUUGUUCUUGCUGCCUUGCUUUCUUGUCAGCUUGUGUUUCUUCCGCAACUUUUUCCUUUCAAGAACUUUGGGGAUGACACUGGCCCCUUUCUUUUCUGAAGACCAGUUUUCACCGUCGUCUUUGGUCUACUGGGGAUAUGGUUUCCUCCAUUUAGCUUUCCGGUGGUUCCUCUAGGUAUACAACUCUCUUCAUCAUACUUGUUAUGCUGGGAACAAUUGAGGUUCAAAGGCCGCUCCCCUUAAGAUUUGUCUUAUCUUCCUUUUGACUCAUGCGCUUGAAUUUGUGCUGGGGCCCUUUGUUAUAGCCUUAUGCCUUCCGGUGGGUUACCGGUUUCAAAACCUGAAACGUAAAUACUGAAAAGUAUUGCUCUUGUUAUACAGGUGGGCCCCUAAUAUUCUAAAAGCAUGCAAAAAUAUUCCGCUUAUUAUACAGGUGGGCGCCUAUUUAUCUAUAACAUGAAAAAUAUUCCACUUAUUAUACAGGUGGGCGCCUAUUUAUAUAAAGACAUGAAAAGUUAUUCCACUUAUUUUACAGGUGGGCGACUAUUAUUCUAAAGAUAUGAAAUAUUAUUCCACUUAUUAUACAGGUGGGCGCCUAUAUAUGCAAAAAAUUAUUCCACCUAUUAUGCACGUGGGCGCCUAUUUAUCUAAAGACAUGCAAAAAUUAUUCCACUUAUUAUACUGGUGGGCGCCUAUUUAUCUAAAGUAUGAAAAGUAUUCCACUUGUUAUACAUGUGGGCGCCUAUUUAUCUAAAGACAUGCAAAAAAUUAUACCAGUUAUUAUACAGGUGGGCGCCUAUUUAUCAAAAGCCAUGCAAAAAAUUAUUCCACUUAUUAUACAGGUGGGCACCUAUUUAUCUAAAGACAUGAAAAAUUAUUCAGCUUAUUAUCCAGGUGAGCGCCUAAUUAUCUAAGCCAUGCAAAAAUUAUUCCACUUAUUAUACAGGUGGGCACCUAUUAAUCUAAAGAUAUAAAAAAUAUUCCGCUUAUUAUACAGGUGGCCCUAUUUAUCUAAAGCAUGAAAAGUAUCCCACUUGUUAUACAGGUGGGCGCCUAUUUAUCUAAAGACAUGCAAACAAUUAUUCCACUUAUUAUAAAGGUGGGCGCCUAUUUAUCUAAAGCCAUGCAAAACAUUAUUCCACUUAUUAUACAAGUGGGCGCCUAUUUAUCUAAAGACAUGAAAAAUUAUUCCACUUAUUAUACAGGUGGACGCCUAAUUACUAAGACAUGAAAUGUAUUCCCUUGUUAUUCAGGUGGGCGCCUAAUUGGUAAAUACACGAAACAUAUUCCCUUGUUAUACAGGUGGACGCCUAAUUGGUAAAGACGUGAAAAUUAUUCCCUUGUUAUACAGGUGUGCGCCUAAUACUAAGACAUGAAAUGUAUUCCUUUGUUAUACAGGUGGACGCCUAAUUUCUAAGACAUGAAAUGUAUUCCCUUGUUAUACAGGUGGGCACCUAUUUUCUAAAGACAUAAAAAUUUGUUCCCUUGUUAUACAGGUGGGCACCUUAUUGGUGAAGACAUGAAAAGUAUUCUCUUGUUAUACAGGUGUGUGCCUAAUGCUACGACAUGAAAAGUAUUCUCUUGUUAUACAGGUGGGCGCCUAAUUGGUAAAGACGUAAAAAUUAUUCCCUUUUUAUACAAGUGGGCGCCUAUUUGCUAAGACAUGAAAAGUAUUCCCUUGUUAUACAGGUGGGCGCCUAUUGCUAAGACAUAAAAAGUAUUCCCUUGUUAUACAGGUGGGCGCCUAAUGCUAAGACAUGAAUGUAUUCCCUUGUUAUGCAGGUGGACGACUAUUUGAUAUAACAUGAAAAGUAUUCCCUUGUUAUACAGGUGGGCGCCUAAAUGGUAAAGACGUGAAAAGUAUUCCCUUGUUAUACAGGUGGGCGCCUAAUUUUUAAAGACGUGAAAUGUAUUCCCUUGUUAUACAGGUGGAAACCUAUAUCCUAAGACAUGAAAUGUAUUCCCUUGUUAUACAGCUCAUCGCCUAAUGCUAAAGACAUGAAAAGUAUUCCCUUGUUAUACAGGUGGACGCCUAAUGCUAAGACAAGAAAUGUAUUCCCUUGUUAUACAGGUGGGAUCCUAAUCGCUAAGACAUGAAAUGUAUUCCCUUGUUAUACAGGUGGGCGCCUAGUUGCUAAAGACAUAAAAAUUGUUCCCUUGUUAUACAGGUGGGCGCCUAAUGCUAUGAUAUGAAAUGUAUUGAAUUUGUUUCCUCGUUCAUCCGAGAAAUUUUUGACAACAACAGAAAAUUUUCUGCCCAGUUUUGGUGACCUUCCUUGUGGCGUGUUUUUCUACCUUCAUCAACCUUUAUUUUCCUGUAUCAAUCAAAGAAAAUCUCGUCAGUUUAAAACAUGAUGAGCGAUCGUGCCACUCUUUCCAAUGCUAAGAUAUGAAAUGUAUUGAAUUUGUUUCCUCGUUCAUCCGAGAAAUUUUUGACAACAAUAGAAAAUUUUCUGCCCCAGUUUUGGUGACCUUCCUUGUGGCGUGUUUUUCUACCAUCAUCAACCUUUAUUUUCCUGUAUCAAUCAAAGAAAAUCUCGUCUGUUUAAAACAUGAUGAGCGAUCGUGCCACUCUUUCCGUGGAUGGUUUUUCCUUUCACUUUUCUUGCUUUGUGCUUCCAAACUGGUUGGGGAUAGCGUCAUUUGAUGGGGAUGAUAUUCCUACUGGGGAUGGUUUUCCAUUUAUCCCUACCCAGCUCAUUUGUUUCAAAACAAUGCUGGGGGAGUCUUUUUCAACUCCAAAACUUCUUUCUUCCAAGAUCUUAUUUUCCCUCAAUACUGCAGGGGAUAAAAUGUUAUCAUCUGGGGAUAACGUUAUUGAGGAUAAUACUGCUGGGGUUAUUUUGCUGCGGAUGAAUUCUCCCUUUAUCCUUCCCCUUUUCUGUGUUGUCCGACCGUCGGGGUUAUUAUUUUGCGGAUGAAUUCUCCCUUUCUCCUUCCCAUUUUCUUGUGUUGUCUGACCAUCUUAGAACUUGGUCAGUGAUCCAUCAAAGUUCUGCUGGGGGCCCUGUUAGAGCUUGAUCUAUAAGUUCCUCGAUCGUUGCUUUCCAGCUUUUCUCCAUAUUUCCCUUAACUUUCUAGGCGAAUUUGCCAUUUGGUCUUGUAACAACCGCCUUUUGUCUUAUUGCCUUGUUUUUGGCCUGUCCUCUUCACAUUUUGCUUUCUACCAUUUUAGCAAUUGAUAGUAAACUCUGAAAAAUCCUUCUAAAAACAAAUUUCUGGAAAAAGUCUUUUAGACAAAGAAAUGAAAAGAUAGAAAAAUAGAAAAAUCUCUCUGAACAAAUGCUGGGGGAAAAGAACAGGAGAGAACUUAUCUGGAUGGUAUGACUGGUCCCAACGAUCAUGUCGUGCAUUCCGGAUUAAUCGACCCAGCCUAUUUGUAUCAAUCAAUCUUUCUGAUGGCCUCAUUUUCCAUGAAAAAACAGACGCCCAAUUUUUGCCAUAUGCGGAUCCUUUCCGCCAAUCUCAUCUUGUCGCCUCAGAUCAAUCUUUCUGAUGGCCUCAUUUACCGGGGAUAAACAGAUGCCCAACUCUUUGCCUUAUGCGGAUCUGCCAAUCGCAUCUUAUCGCCUCAUAGUUCCCUUCGAGGGGUUUUUACCAAUAAGACUCUCUCAUUUCUCUCAACUCCCGUCGCCUUAUGGUGCCUGUGAAGGUUUUCACCACAAGACUCUCUCAUUUUAUUUCUCUCUGCUUACGUCUCCUUAUGGUGCAUGUGAAGGUUUUCACCAAUAAGACUCUCUCUUUUUGUUUCUCUCUGCUUAUGUCAUCUUAUGGUGCCUGUGAAGGUUUUCACCGAUAAGACUCUCUUAUUUUUUUCCAGCAUGGGGAUCAGAGUGUUAUCGAUAAGAUUCUCUCUACUUGGCAAUCUUUUGCCUAUCAAUUUUUCCAGCUUUAUGACCCUUGUAUGGUCGGGGAUCAGUGUAUUACCUUGGCUUUCAUCUGCCUGACUUGGUACUUCUCUGAUAACGACCGAGAAGUGUUUUUGGACAUGAGAUGUGGGUUUUGUGUGUGUAAAUAAAUUAUCAGGAAAUUCAAAAUAACUUGAUGGGUAAGAGAUUACAACUCUUGGAAUCAAACUUUUUCCAAAAUUAACAAAACAUAACUUCUACCCCGGUUUUCUUGCUUGGGGGACUUUUGAUUUUCCAUGACACUUUGUCACAUUGCGACCGAGCCGUGAAGAGCCUACGUAUCCUUUUGGAGGAAUCAGGUCGAACGUAGUUCACUACUAUUGUUUUGUCUUCUUGUGAUUUUUUUAUUAUUUAUUUUAAUUUUUACUUUUUUUCCCUUUUCUUUAACGAUUCCAAGAAGGGGUAUGAAAGAAUGAGUAAUGGCUCAAAAGGGGAAAGCAAAGGUUGAAAGUGUUUGGAUAGAAGAAAUAAUUGCCUCCGUCAUUUCAUAAUCCAAUAAGUACUAAAUACAAACAAAUAAACAAAUAACUAUCAUGGUCAAGGAAAUUACACAUAGUAUCUCUUGACUGCAUCCGAAUUGAUAGCCAUGUUGAAUCAUCUUCCUUCGAUAUCUACCAGACAUAAAGCGCCGUUGAAUAACGCUCUAGUCACAAUAUAAGGCCCUACCCAAUUUGGGGCGAACUUGCCCUUUACUUCGGCCUGAUACGGCAGGAUUCGUUUCAGCACUUGCCGCCCCACUUCAAAUUUCCUGGGACACACAUUCUUAUUAUUUCUCUUUCCAUUCUCUUUUGAUACAACUGGCCAUGACAUACUGCUGUCAAUCUAUUUUCAUCAAUUACGCUCAACUGCUCCAAUCGGGCUUCGACCCAUUCAUCAUCAAUGUCAGCCUCAACAAUAAUUCGGAGAGGCAGAAUUUCAACCUCUUCUGGUAUCCCUGUUUCAGUUCUGUAUACCAACAGAUAAGGAGUUGUACCUACUAAAGUAGUAACAGGAGUGCGAUAACUCAACAAUGCAAAUGAUAGCUUUUCAUGCCAUUGCCUGGACCCUUCUACCAUUUUCCUCAAUAUCUUCUUUAUGUUAUUGUUGGCCGCCUCAACCGCUCCAUUCGGGUUUUGACCCACUCAUUAUCAUCAAUCUAGUUCUUGUAUUAUUAAUUCAUAAUCAGAUUGAUUUUUUUCGACUGGGUUGAAGAUCCAUCGUGCAUGCCAUGUCACUAGAAUCAGUAUAAAGAGAACUGUUCAGAAAGAGAAAACAAGAAUAAAAAAUUAAACUAAAGUAAAAGUGAAGACGAAUUCUUUUUUUUUCAUUUUCCAUUGAAUUACGGGAAACAAGGUUUCACCCUUUGACAAGGAAAAAAUAAAAAAAAAUCGGAUUACAACCCGGGAAUGAUCCAGAAAACAAGAUGGAAAAUCAGAUCCCAUUACAAAGACUCCCUUCAGCUGACCCAGACAUGGAACGUCUUUCCAAUUAACAAGCACGGGAUUUUUAGCCAUUGAGCUUUGCAUCCAUAUUGCCAAGACGGCUAUAUGCUUCAAAAUCUUUAGCUUUAGUCAAUACAUUCCCAAAAGGAUUCUCAUACCCCAUGUCACCGAGCAUCAUUCCCACAAUGUGUGCAUCAUCGUGUGUAUGUAAAUGAUUCAGCGUGAUAUUCUGGGUGUUACUAUCUUGAAUAAAUUUUUUUUGGAUCUUGUGCUUCCAGCUUACCACAAACCGAUCACCCAAACUUUCAUUUGCGAUUCAAAACAAAACAGGUUAGAAUGGAUUCAGUCGGUCCUCAUUAUUAACAACAUCUUUUUCUUUUUCUUUUUCAUUCUUUUUCCAUUUUUCCUUUUUUUUGUUGUGGUCGGAUCUUAUGGAGAUUGCCUAUCAUGACCCGCCAUGAAUCAGACCUUGCGUAGUUCGGGCCAAUAAAAGAUAAACAACAAUGAAACAUUUUUUUGGGAUUUUUAAUUUUCAUGAUAAAACAAACUGAGUUUCAAAGGAUUAAAGAUGACCUACAAACUCAAAAAUCAAACAACUCACAUAUUCUAAUAGAAAGAAUUGCAAACUCAAAAACAAACGGCCAGCUAGCGUUCCCUGUUUGUUCAACUCACAUAUUCUAAUAGAAAGAGUUGCAAACUCAAAAAUAAACGGCCAGCUACCUUUCCCUGUUUGUCAAAUUCAACCCAAUGGCUGCUUUUGAAAACGUGGCCCUUUCACAUGAAUUUUGAGGCCGAGGAGUAUUAUGUUAUGACAUUUCACAAACUUGUUUGUUGUUUUACGAAAAUAGCCUUUCAAAAAUUAAAAGAUAUUCUAAGGCUAUCUCUGCAAGAACGGUUUAAGACAUCGCCGAAGCUGGCUUGGCUUAUUUUGACAAAAUUCCAAAUGGCACUCACUUGCCCACUGACUCUUAUUUUCAAAUUGAAAUAAAAGACCUGGUAUUGCAAACACGGCCUUUUAGCACCUCGGGGACGAAGAUUGUAAGCCUGCGUUAGCUAACCAGCCCAAAUCCUAAGACAAUGAUUAAAGGUGGCAGUUAAUGCAAAGUCAGCAUUCCGGCAUCCCUUUCGGGAACAUUCGGCUAUUUUCGGCAAAAAGAGCAUCACCGACUUAUUUUUGACUCUUUUCUUUUCUUUUUUUUUUCAAAACGGGAGACCCAAUAUUGCAAACACGACCUUCCAGCUUCUAGAGGAUGAUAAUUUUAAGGCUGUGUGGGUCAACCGGCCAAAAAUCUAAAGAAUGACCAAAGGUGGAUGCAAAGUCAGCCUUCCGGCAUCCCUUUCGAGAAUAUUCGGCUAUUUUUGACAAAAACGGCAUCACCCGACUUAUUAUGACGACAAUCAAAAUUGACACAUUUGUUUUUUGCUAUUUUAGCAAAAUGGGAGGUUGGACUCGAUGUGGUUGCCUACGUAUCUCACACCCAGUGAGAAUCAAACCAGCGUAGUUCAAAAAAUUAACCAAACUAUUUUAAAACAGGACUCAUUUUUAUUUUUAUUUUUGGCAUUUCAUAAGCAAAAAUAAAAAAAAACUAAUUUUAAAAGCAAGACCUUUUUUUUCUUUUCUUUUUCAACAGACAACCUAUUUUCCCAAUUAAAAAUAAAAGUUUUUUUUUUUAUUUUUCAACAAUCAAUACAACAACCUAUUUUUCAAACUAAUAAAUAAACGACUCUUUUACUUUUCUUUUUCAGCAGACAAUAAAAUAGCCUAAAAAUUGAAGACUUUUUUUUUCAUUUUUUAUGGCAAAAUAAACUUUUCUCUUUUUCAUUUUCGAAAACAUUACUUAAGAUCAUUUUCAUGGAAAAAUAAAAUAUUUUUCCUUUUCUAUUUUUGAAAACAAGACAAAAUAACGAUUUUUUUUUCAUUUUCAAUAAACAACCUAUUUUUUAAACUAAAAUAAAGACUCUUUUUCCCCUUUUCUUCAAAUAAAUAAAACAAAAAACGACUCUUUUUUUUCAUUUUUUUUCACAAUUUUGGUAAAGUUGUGCCGCUAUUUGAAAAUUAAUUUUCUUAAAACAUGUAAUUAACACUCUACACUGCUUUUUUUUUUUCGUUUUUUUCCCACAAUUUUCCAGUAUUUAAAGCCGGUCAGCAUGCCAAUCUGAAACAAAUAAAGGCAUAAAACAAACAGGAUGCAUCAUGAUGAUCCUUUCACUUCAGGUUUCUUGUCCUAGACGGAACCAACCCCUGCGUUGAGUCUCCAAAGUCAAAUGCACAUGAUGCAAAUAAGUAUCCUACUGGGGAUCCGACAUGAAGCUGUGUUUUACUAGGUAAAAGAAAAACAUGGGGUUUUGGUCUAGAGUUAAGGUACCCGAGCGGACAACUGGGGCUGAGGAGGGGGCGACGUAACGGGAGCACUAAAGUCUGCCGGACAUUGUUGCUUGCCCAACACUCGCUCUAUUUGGAAUUAUUUUUCAAAAGGCAGGCUACGCGAACGUAUGCACAAACUUCAGAAGACUCAGAAAGAAGUAGGGCUUUGUAGCAGUUUAUAUACACAGUUCAAAUAAUAUCACAGCGGUAAUAAAUAACAAUUUGCACAUUAAAUCCAAAAUAAAAUAUAAUAAACAUUAGAUAAUAGAGAAAGCCAAAUACAACAAUUAUUUUAAGCUCGAAUUUCUAACUCUGAACCAGUGGUUUUGGAUUAUGAUCCACAGCAGAGUCGCCAGAGCUGUCACACCUCCUUUUUACCUACCGCGAAAGGGGUAAAGGGAGUUUUUCCAAUAAAGGACAAUCGAAACGAGAUUUGUUUAUUUAAGAUUCAGAGUCGCCACUUGGGAGAUUUAUGGUGUCCCAAGUCACCGGUUGAAAUCCUGAAUCGAGGAAAAGAAUAACUCUGUUUAUCAGUCUGCGCAUUAGAAAUCCGGAUAAGGAAUUCUGUUAACCCGCGAGAAGGUGUUAGGCAUUUCCGAGUUCCGUGGUUCUAGCACGGUCGCUCAAUUGCUAUAUUUGGCUUAAAUUAUCUGAUUUUAAUACCUUUUUAACCUAUGUGCAAAUUUUAACUUUGAAACGCUAUUGUCAUUUAUUAUUUCUGAAGANNNNNNNNNNNNNNNNNNNNNNNNNNNNNNNNNNNNNNNNNNNNNNNNNNNNNNNNNNNNNNNNNNNNNNNNNNNNNNNNNNNNNNNNNNNNNNNNNNNNNNNNNNNNNNNNNNNNNNNNNNNNNNNNNNNNNNNNNNNNNNNNNNNNNNNNNNNNNNNNNNNNNNNNNNNNNNNNNNNNNNNNNNNNNNNNNNNNNNNNNNNNNNNNNNNNNNNNNNNNNNNNNNNNNNNNNNNNNNNNNNNNNNNNNNNNNNNNNNNNNNNNNNNNNNNNNNNNNNNNNNNNNNNNNNNNNNNNNNNNNNNNNNNNNNNNNNNNNNNNNNNNNNNNNNNNNNNNNNNNNNNNNNNNNNNNNNNNNNNNNNNNNNNNNNNNNNNNNNNNNNNNNNNNNNNNNNNNNNNNNNNNNNNNNNNNNNNNNNNNNNNNNNNNNNNNNNNNNNNNNNNNNNNNNNNNNNNNNNNNNNNNNNNNNNNNNNNNNNNNNNNNNNNNNNNNNNNNNNNNNNNNNNNNNNNUUAUUGUCAUUUAUUAUUUUUGAAGAGAAUUGCAACGUCUUGAGAAUAUAUCUCGAACUACAUCACAUAAAUAUAUCCGUAGUUUUUAAUAUGUUCCGACUUCGUUGGGAUUUGGAUUUGGGUCACAUAAACGUGUACCCGAGUUUAGGGAAGAUAACAUUAUUGAACACGCGCCUAAAGAUACUACCGCGUUAUUAUUUUUUGAGAAAGCCGUGAAAUUUGUUAUACGGACUAUCUCGAAAUCUAAACAAUUAUUAACAAUUUAUUGAGGGCCCCGGCGCUUGUGCAUUUUUAUUCGGCGAGGCUCGUCUCAUUUAUUUUAAAAGGGCAAGCAUAAGGCAAGUACAAUUUCUAUUUUGCAAGGACAUAAAAAAUUAAACUAAUGGCACACCUUGAUUUCUAAAGGGUUUUAUUGAUUAGGUGAGGUCCAUGGAUUAUAGAAAGUAUGGAAGAAAAAACGUAAAUUAGAUGGAAAAGGAGGUAUGGCUUAUUGAAGAAUUAUACUAAAGUUAUGGAGCUUCGCAGGCUGAACUAUUAAUCUAAUGUCACAUACAAUUCCUCUCUCUGUAUUUUAUAAGUUCGAUUAUGAGAACAAGAAAAACAAACUUAUUAGCCUUAACUCCAAAUUAAUGAUACUACAAUGUAUUUAAUAAUAAAAGAAGCUGCUUUUGUGAAAGAGUUCAUGCCAAUCUUCUUUUAUUAGUUUAAUUAUUCAAAAUUGGGUGAACUAAGAUUGGCAACGAAGCAAUAAAGUUAUCUUUACAAUCUAAGGAUCAAAUACAGUAAUAAGUGAUCGACCAACACAAUGCAAAACAAUCACUUAUAGAAACCAAACAAAAUAUGACUUGUAAUUAUAAUAGGAAUAGAGAUGGAUAUGCUAGCAAUUAGAUUUCCACAAGCCUACUAACAAUAUAUAUUAGUAUAUUAUAUAAACUACCUCAAAUCAAUGUAUCAAACUAGGCAUACAACAACACCUAAGAUUAAACGUGCAAGUGAAUAAUUGAGUUCCUAACUCAUUUAAUACAUCACUCUUUAGGAAGACGCUUAAAUUAGACAGUGUUCACAUAAUAAAUUUGAAACCUCGAACUAUAAUUCUGAAUCCCUUUGUUCAACACCCGACUUUGAACUACUAAGUGUAUAAAAACUCAUUCCACCAUAUGGUCGACACAUGACUGAACUAUGCUAAAACCUUAGACAAUACUCAUGGGUAAACUAAGCUAUUUUAAACAUGAGUUCACAAUCAUACACCACAAGCCAUUCACAGCAAAAGAAUAUCUCAUAGUAUCUUUCAAACAACACACUACACUUUAAUACUUUUGCCCUUAGCCUCCUUUCAGCCAGUCCAUCAUAUAUUUCAGGUUUAACUAGUCCAAGUUACACAAACUAUAACAGAUCUUAGUUAUUCAAACCUCUAGAUUACCAUUACAUAUCUAACAGAACUUAGACAUUCAAAAUGAUCAGAAAAUAGAACUGCAUAGAAGCCAAUGCAAUAACAGUAGUGCUUGCAUUUCAAUCUCUCUUCCAAAUAGGCUUUAUUCAACUUAAUAUUUAUACGUCAUUCAAUGUUGAGAUAAAUACCUGGGCACAGAACAGAAAAGGAGAAGACGGAAUCAGCUGAUACACCAAUCGAGCAGCAACAACAAUCAGCAAUCAACAAAAACCAGUAACAACCAAUAAAACCCAGCAGCAGAGUAACAGAAGGCCAACAGAACUCCCAACAACCCAAUAGAACAGUAACAAUAACCAAUAGCAAACUCAGGCAAACCCAAAUGACAAACCAGAGAUACCAAUCAACCACACAAACAGAACCAGACUGAUUAAGAGGAUGCAAUGAAACUAUGAAUUUUCUCUUCAACUCUCAAAUACUGAACUUUAAGUGUUAAAGUCUAGCAAAGUUUUUCCGGAGAAAGAAACUGAAAGAAAACUGAUGGACUACUUGUGCAGGGAUUAGCCUACGUUUGCUUUUUAACUCUGAAUUCUUAAUGUAAAAUCCAGCUCUUAAACACUCGAUAUCUAGUCCAAAAAUUCAGUCCUCUCUUUUCUGCUCUCAAAACUUAAUUUCUAAUGCUCUAAAAAUCUCCCCCCAUUCAGUCUUCAAUUCCCCCUAUUUAUAACCCAUUUCCACCCUAAAAAGCACUAAGCCAGUUGCCUCAUUCAUUACUCCGUCAUGCCCCAUUUUGCCUUUUUAGCUCUAUGGAGCGUUAUCUCUAAUUAAAGAAGUAAAUGUACCCAUGUUCUUUUCUGCAUUUCCCAUUCAAAAGUUCAAAAGGAGUAAUAUUCCCUGACAUCCCCCCAUUUAAUAUUAAAGUGUUUUCCCUUUUAUUAAACUAGAACAAUAUGGGCAGCAGGAAUAUGCCCUGACAGCACAUGCUGUCAAAUUACCUUAGACUCAUUAAAGAAUUAACAGUUCACAUGCUUGCUGGGGUCCUAAACAAAGCCAAUAUUCAUCUAAAAAUGCAUAAACCAGGGGAUCAUUUCAAUACUAGUCUAAACUAAAUGCCUGGUUAAUUGCAAUUCAAAUUGAAUCUAGUAUGAAUUCAAAUGCUAAUGGAUUCAGGCAGAAGAAUCGAAUUAACAUGAAAUUUUGAAUCCACCAUUGGCAAACUGGUACCAACCAGCUCGAAGAGCACGAACAAAUUUCAAACCAAUAAUCGACCAAACUUAAUUACAGACAAAUAUAAUUACAAACAAAGAAAAUCGACCAAAUAAAAUGUCUGUUGGAGAUGGAUAGAAAUGAAAGAGGAAAAAUUGAAAACUUAAAUAAACUAAACUAAAUGUGUAUCAGAUAGGAAUCAGGCAUAUAAAAUAGAAUGAGGAAGAAAAGGCACCUCGAGCAUUCAAAGAACACAGACGACCCAAGUUCGAAAUCGGACUUGCCUGCUUUGAGGUCGAACAGACCUUAGUCGAAGUGUUAUCACAUGAUAACACCUCGAUUAGGGUCGAUUAAACCCGAAACCCAUAAGUUAUUCAGACAGAUUCCAAGAUUUGAAAUUAUUUAGGGUUCUUGAGAGUAAUUUGGGGUUUAUGAUUUUCUGGGCAGAUUCGAAUCGGACCAAAGGCGUUUAUGAUAUAAGGGAGGUCAGGGGGUGACAUUGUGUGAGUUUGGGGGCUGAUUGGGAUAGGUUUGGUUUUCACUCGAAUCUUCGAUUGAAGAUUCGAGAAGCUGAAGAUUGAUUUGACGGAAGCGGUUAAGGAAUUCGUGUUUAGCGUGUAAAGGGGGUUAAGGGGUGUUAAUUUGGUGAUCAUUGGCAUCGUUGCCGCCAGGUUUACGACGAAGGGGAGGGGUGGCGGCUGCUAGGUUUUGGGGAAGGGUUUGAUCUCUGAACUCAGAGACGAAGAGGGGGCUAUGGCUAUUUGGGGGGGGC
Molecule: long non-coding RNA, 15889 nt
Filed under: Nicotiana benthamiana
Lineage: Eukaryota; Viridiplantae; Streptophyta; Magnoliopsida; Solanales; Solanaceae
Description: long non-coding RNA (NBEN_LNC019316)
Source: RNAcentral